UACGUAGGGGGCAAGCGUUGUCCGGAAUUAUUGGGCGUAAAGCGCGCGCAGGUGGUUUCUUAAGUCUGAUGUGAAAGCCCACGGCUCAACCGUGGAGGGUCAUUGGAAACUGGGGAGCUUGAGUGCAGGAGAGAAGAGUGGAAUUCCACGUGUAGCGGUGAAAUGCGUAGAGAUGUGGAGGAACACCAGUGGCGAAGGCGGCAUCCUGGACCGAGAUUGACGCUGAGGCGCGAAAGCCAGGGGAGCAAACGGG
RNAcentral lists this ribosomal RNA (253 nucleotides) under uncultured bacterium. RNAcentral describes it as "partial 16S ribosomal RNA". It matches the Rfam family "Bacterial small subunit ribosomal RNA", at positions 524 to 776 of the family's 1533-position model. The record is from RNAcentral.